GAGAAACACAGCCCCCCCCCCCAAACACACAAAUACACACACACACACACAAAUACACAAAACAAACACAACUGGUUAAGACAGUUUUUGAUUGAUUUGCUUGGACAUCUGUCUGAGUUUACCUGUCUGUCCCUGUGGGCUCUGUGGUGGGAAAUAGGUUUCCAGCCUUCCUCCUCAUCCAGAUGAUUCUGCACUAUUCUGCCCGAAUAAUUAUUCCAGUAUAUUGUCAAACCUAAGAGGCACAAGCUUAGUAUCUCCCCAUUGCUUAUUCAAUAAAUUUAUACUUUAUAGCCUGGCAUUCAAAACCUCCUUACAAGCUGGCCUCUAAGUACCUUUUAUUUAUUUAUUUAUUUUAUUUUAUUUUUUUUUGUCUUUUGUUUUUGCUAUUUCUUGGGCCGCUCCUGCGGCAUAUAGAGGUUCCCAGGGCUAGGGGUUGAAUCGGAGCUGUAGCCACCGGCCUACGCCAGAGCCACAGCAACGUGGGAUCCGAGCCGCGUCUGCAACCUACACCACAGCUCACGGCAACGCCGGAUCGUUAACCCACUGAGCAAGGGCAGGGACCGAACCCGCGACCUCAUGGUUCCUAGUCGGAUUCAUUAACCACUGCGCCACGACGGGAACUCCAGUACCUUUUAUUUAUUUAACAAUUUAGUUUUUUAAAUCCCUGCUAUAUACUAGGCAGCCUGCUGAGAGCUGGGUAUAGAGCAAUGAACUUGAGUGACAUGUCCUCAUGGGACUUUGUUAUCUACUGUAGCAAGACAGACUUUAAACAAAGUCAUGCAAAUGAUUAAUUGCAAAGUGAAAACAAGAACACACAGUGAUAACAUUGAGAUCCCUUGGCUUUGGGAAUUAAGUCAUUGACACCAGUCUCUUAAGAGUGUGGCUUCAGGAGCAGAGCACCAGUUUUAGGAGUAGAAGGGGGCAUCUAGAAACACAUGGGCUUUGGAGGGGGAGGAGUAUGACCUCUGGAUGCACCAGCACUUCACUGAUCUAAGGCCUAAUUUUGGCUACCUUCCCUUACAUUUGCUUUAAUGUAGUGUAUGACUUUCUUUCAUUGUUUAGCAGUUACACUGAAAGUAUCACUUUUCCAAAAACUGUCCACAACAUGGGACCAAAAUAAAUUUAAAGUUCUGUUGUUCAAGCUGAAGUGGGUGCAACUGCCGUUCCUAGAAUACUUGAGCCUCAGCAUAGAAUAUGCUUUGUCAUGCCUUUUGUCAGAACUCUGGUGUGAACUGCCUUAAGGCAAGACAUCAAGUCCUUUUGCUCAUAAGCAAAGGAUCCUCUUGAAUUACUCUGGUAUAACUGACUAGCUGGCUGUAAGAUGUAUGCUUCCACUUGGUUUUGUAAUACUUUUGAAGACAAUUCUAGCUCCUUGACACAAUAUCAAUAUAAUCGUCCCAGUUUGGCAAUGGAGAAUCUACAUCUGCAGUGGAACCGUUGGACCUCAUAAUUCCUAUUCUUACUCUGCUGUGAGGUGCCAUCUUUGGAGAUUUCAUCCUAAUUAAUGCCAUUAUGACCUUAGGGGACAUGAGUUUAGAGCUUUGGACUAACUAGAUAUUACCUAGGUGACAGUAUGCUGGAACGUUAAAAUUAAGACAUUAUUAAAUGUUUAGUGCAAACAAAAGGGAAAUAACCAGAGAGCAGCAUAUACCUAGAGAAGAUGCUUUCUCAGACAGAUUCUGUUCAUCCUCACUUGUAAUUCCUACAGUGAUGACCCUCUCUCAGCCAGUUGCCUGACUCUGCAGGAUAGAGGGUGCCUGUGAUCCUUAAUGCUACCAGUUUAUUGAGCAAGACAAAUUCUAGGUGCAAAAGGAUAGUAGCAUUGUUCGUUCUCGCCACUCUCCACUAAACUGGCUUUGUCAAGUAGCUCUUUCACUGGGCCCUGGACUUUGCCAAGUGCUGUGAUGUUUCUGGUUAUUGUUAAGCAAUUAAGGGCCCUUUUUGGUAUAAUCACAUCAUUCCAUUCCUUAACACAGGUUCAAGGUUUUCUCUUCCCGAGCCCAGGCACGUUUCAGGCUUAGGAGACUGCAGUCGAAAGGGGUUUUUUUCAUCUUCUGCUCUGCUUAUUCUCCAUCAUUCCCUGAAUGGCACGCAGCUCUUCUGGGUUCAGAGUAGGAGAGGGAAGAGGCAUAAAAGAAGAAAGUCUUACUUGAAGUGAAUCUGGUGUUGAUGCCCUCUGGAUGGCGCUAAUUCAAAAAGAUGAUUUUUGUUGCUGUCAUGGAGUGUCUUGUGAUUCUUUGGAGGACUGCCUCUCAGUUCCUUUGACAGGGUGGAUACUCUCUAUUCUUAAUCACUUGCAGUCUUCCUCAAGGCCUCUGGAUGCUGGUGGGCAGAUCUGAGCAUUCAAAAAAAAUUCCUGCUGGAUCCGCCCAUGCCUCCAGGCCUUCCUCUUCAGCAGUCCCACUCAGGCUGAGUCAGCCCAACUUGUUCCUGUGGAGCCCACAUCCUCCCCUCUGAUAGCUCACACAGCCUUGAGUACAGGUCAUUCCCAUCUCACCCACCGCUCCUUGCUCUGUUGUCCCAGGACAAUGGGUUAGCCUAAUGCCUUUCUUUUCAGGAACAAGACUGCUUUUAUUCUCCUUAUCUGUCAAAUUUCAGGGACCACAGAACAAGUUAUUCAAAGUUGUCCUAUUCCACGGCCUGAGAGGGGAGGGAGGUAUUCCAUAUUCUCUCCCUUGGGAGAGGGAAAAUAAUGCACCGCACCCUGACAGUCUCUGCAAAGGAAUCCUCAACCUGCCUCAGUCAAACUCUCUAAAACUUGUGUAUUACCUCAUCUUCUUCAUUCAUUUAGCCUGGGGGGGUGGUGAUGGCUGAGGCCAGCGAAAUCUGCUUUAAAAUUACCAAGGCCUCCCUGCAGAUGUGGCCCAACUCUUUGCUUUAAUACAUGAAAGUAUUUAUAUUUUCUCUAUUUUUUCCCUUUCUUUCUUCUUCCUUUCUUCCUUUCUUCCUUUCUCUUUCUUUCUUUCUCCCUCUCUUCCCUCCUUCCUUUCUUCCCUCUCUCCUUCCUUCCUUCCUUCCUUUCUUUCUUUCUUUCUUUCUUUCUUUCUUUCUCUUUCUUUCUUAUUGAAUCCUCAUCUGAAGCUCCGAGCAAACAGAAAAUGUUAUGUUUAACAUUCUGUUCCAUUGUCCAGAGGUAUUUCAACAUGGGUCUACAUUUCAUAAAGUCCAAAGUCAAGCCUCCUUUCUGGGGAGGCCCUAGAAGAGAUGGGAUGCUCCUUUCCUACAAAAUUAAAAUUUACCUCCUAAGUUCUGAUGGUGUGUCUGUGGAUCUGCUUCUUCCUCAGUGAUUCACACGAGGAGAACCUUCUGUCCUGGGAGACUUUAGUGCCUUUCUUUCUGCAUCAGUCUUUCCUUUAAAGUCUCAGAGGACAAUGGUAUCAGAGUACAUUGUGACAAAGCUCACAGGCAUGCAAAAGCGUAAUAACAACUGGUUCCCUUUUUAGAAUUCUUUCUUUCUUGCCUGGCUUGUUCAUCUUCAUGAUGUUUGGCUAUGGUGAAGGCUAUAUAGUAUGUUGUCUCAGAAUAACAUGAACAAAGCUAACUGGUUCACAGGAGGAUUACAGCUGGCCUCAUAAUUCUCUAGCAAUGGAGCCAGCCAGAGACAGCCUCCUCAUAAGGGAAUACAUUAUCCUUACUUCAUAGUUGGAUUUAAGACAAAACAAAUAUUUAAAAAAUCUAAUUAGUUUCUAACAAAUUGCCAACAUUUUAAAGUAACAAUCUCUCUUAAAAGAUGAAUGUUUUUGGAGAUGCUUUUCAAGAAAAUGGACAUGGAAAGUACUUUCGUGGAGCAAACUGUUUCAUAUUCUGUAGUAUUUAAUCAGUAUCCUAACAUUCUAGAUAAAUGAUGGAAUCUUUCUACCUGUAUGUAUGCACACUUCCCAGGAUGUGAUUUUUCCAUUGGCACUCCCAAACAUUGACAUUGAAUAACUGCUAUGCUGCGACAAUAUGUUGGGAUAUUUUGUCCCUAAGCCUUGAACUUCUGAAAUCAGUUGUAUUCUUUCUAUUAGUCAGAAUAUUUGUCUUUACAUUCUUGGGAGAGGAAAUUAUAUAUCUUCCUAAUGCUCACAAGGAUAGAUUUAACUGGGAGAUUUUAUGUUGUAGCACUUUAAGAAUUACUUGUUUCUGUGUUAAUGCUAAAAAUAAAUUCUCAUUUGUCUUAUUU
RNAcentral lists this long non-coding RNA (4162 nucleotides) under Sus scrofa (pig). RNAcentral's name for it is "lncRNA (ENSSSCG00005044225.1)". Lineage: Eukaryota; Metazoa; Chordata; Mammalia; Artiodactyla; Suidae. The record is from RNAcentral.